CAACCACAGCUAUAUCAGUUGUAGCUGUUUUAAAAAACGUCCAGAUUUCAAAAAGUGCUAUUUCUUCUGUUCUUCAUCUCUUCUCUUCUGAGUUUUUGACACCUUCGAAGAAACUGAAACUCCAAAUCUUUUCAGUUUCCCUGAAACUUCAGUUUCAAGAAAGUAAAAUCCAGGGAGGGAAGGGAGAUCACCGUCUCCAGCUCUACGGCUAACAGGGAGACUGACUCUCUCCUUAGCCAACCACUGCCUAACGAGGUGGUAGACCCUCAGGAGAGAAGCAUUGGUGGAGAAGGAGUAGGUAAUGGCUUAGAUAUGACGAAGGGGAAGAAGAAGAGAGGGAGACCCAGAAAGUAUGGUCCAGAAGGGAGCAUAGCAAUGGCUGCCUCUCAGGGCUUUUCCUCACCCCCUUCCGAGUUCGCUCUGAAACAGAAUAGAGGGCCGCCGGCGCUGCUAUCGACUGGUUCUGGGAAUCUGCAACAGAUUCCCCAUUCAGGUCCAGAAGGGAGCACAUCAUCGGCUUUCUCUCAGGGCUUUUAUUCACCGAAUCAGAAUAGAGGGCCGCCGCCGCGGGGUUCUGGCAAUCGGCAACAGAUUCCCACUUUGGGUGAAUUGGUUGCGGAUGUAGAAGGAAGAGACUUCACGCUGCACAUGGUUACUAUACAUACAGGGGAGAAUGUCGCUGCAAAGGUAAUUUCACUUAUUGGUCCUCGAGCUGUUUGCAUUCUCUCUGCAAAUGGAUUUGUUUCUAAUGUUACUAUCCGUCAGCCUGGCUCCUUUGGCGUAUUUUGACAUAUGAGGCAUUUUUGAGAUAUACUCUUUAUCUAGGUCCUUUGCAACUACUGAAAAUGGUGUUAUACAUAGUACAACUGGUGGAUUAAGUGUUUCAGUGGCUGGCGUUGAUGGUCGUGUGAUUGGUGGUGCAUUAGCAGGUCAAUUGAUUGCUGCUAGCCCAAUUCAAGUUGUGGUUGGAAGUUUCAAGUCAAAUGAUAAGUCUUGCAAAAGGAAGAACCAUGGUAGAUCUCCAAAGCCUUCAGCAACACCAGGUCCCCAAGACAUGGGGACUGCAGCAAGACCCAUAUCUCAACUCACACCUGAUGAUGACACUUGCUCCAUGCCAACAUCUGCAUUACGAGGACAAGGCCCUGGUGAAGCAGAGAACAGUUCAAACAGUAAUUUAAACCCAGACAAUGCUUUCCAAAGUGCCGAUUGGCAUGGUUCAGAGCACUAAUGCUGUAAUGCAUGUGUGACUGGUGAAUAAUAUAGUUGUGUCUUUCUCUAGAAUAGAUGCUUAUAGAGGCUGGAACGUUUGGUUGCAUGCGCUCUUUGAAUGUAUUGUAGAAUGCAUUCUGAAGUGCCAAAAAUGCCAUCUGGUAAGCAUUCUUAUUCUGAGUUCCUAGGAUGGGAUCAAGAAUUCCCUUCAAUCUGGAACAUGCCAAAAGCCCCAUCAAUCAGUUCAUGCGUUAAUGAUUGGUUUGGAGAUGGCCAAGGAGAAUGUGACUCGGUGACCGUGCUGAUAAUGGUGUCUAAAGGGCUGGUACCGUGCAGUAAUGUACAGCGCUUCAGGGUUUUUUCUCUGCAUAUGAGUGGAAACUUACUCAUUGCUACCGGAAGCUAACUCCAUUGCUUAUCAUCUUGCCAAGUCUGCUGCUAAAUACGAAAUUUCAAGUUCUGUGAUGGUGUGGUCGCCCAUUGUUCUUAAGAAUAUCCAGGCUGAGGGUCUGGGAAGGCCUCAUUAUCGGAUGGAUUAGUGUGGGAUUUUGGGAGAGCCAUUUGAUAUUGAUUGAUUUUAGUAGCUUCUUUUGCUGGUCCUCUUUGUGAUUUCUUCCUGCUGAUGGCAAUGCCAAAGGUGGGAAGAGAUCAUAAGUGGGUUUUUUGUGUUGGUUUGUCCAAAGAUAGAUCUGUAAUUAUUUUAUCCUUUUCCUCCAUUAUUAAUAUAUAUGA
This is an RNA transcript of Macadamia integrifolia, 1941 nucleotides long. It is a transcript of the gene named AT-hook motif nuclear-localized protein 1-like, with no coding region annotated. Lineage: Eukaryota; Viridiplantae; Streptophyta; Magnoliopsida; Proteales; Proteaceae. The transcript has 5 exons. The record is from RefSeq and is a predicted model, not a curated record.